Molecule: ribosomal RNA, 327 nt
Filed under: uncultured eukaryote
Lineage: Eukaryota
Description: partial 18S ribosomal RNA
Rfam family: Eukaryotic small subunit ribosomal RNA
Source: RNAcentral
CCCUUAGAUGUUCUGGGCCGCACGCGCGCUACACUGACGAAUGCAACGAGCUUAUAACCUUGGCCGAAAGGUCUGGGUAAUCUCCAAAUUUCGUCGUGAUGGGGAUAGAUUAUUGCAAUUAUUAAUCUUCAACGAGGAAUGCCUAGUAAGCGCAAGUCAUCAGCUUGCGUUGAUUACGUCCCUGCCCUUUGUACACACCGCCCGUCGCUCCUACCGAUUGAAUGGUCCGGUGAAGCGUUCGGACCGUGGCCUUUGGACGGUUCGCCGUCUGUUGGCUGCGGGAAGUUCGUUAAACCUUAUCAUUUAGGGGAAGGAGAANUCGUANCA